CAAUAGCGUAUAUUAAAGUUGUUGCAGUUAAAAAGCUCGUAGUUGGAUUUCUGGUAGGUGUGACCGUUCCGAACUUGAUUGUUCGUGUAUUGUGUUUUCUCCAGCCAUCCUUGUGGAGAACUUUUCUUGCAUUAAUUUGUAGGGAUUGGGACCCGCAUCGUUUACUGUGAAAAAAUUAGAGUGUUUAAAGCAGGCAAUCGCUUGAAUACAUUAGCAUGGAAUAAUAAGAUAGGACUUUGGUACUAUUUUGUUGGUUUGCAUACCAAAUUAAUGAUCAACAGGAACAGUUUGAGGAUAUUCGUAUGAACAUGUCAGAGGUGAAAUUCUUGGAUUUUGAUCAGACGAACUACUGCGAAAGCAUUUAUCAAGGAUGUUUUCAUUAA
RNAcentral lists this ribosomal RNA (383 nucleotides) under uncultured eukaryote. Its description in RNAcentral is "partial 18S ribosomal RNA". It matches the Rfam family "Eukaryotic small subunit ribosomal RNA", at positions 592 to 976 of the family's 1831-position model. The record is from RNAcentral.